UGACAUAAAAAUAGACUGGCAGGGCCAUGUCAGAUAUCUGGGGUGUCCAGCACAAGUGCAUGUUUCUAGCAGAUACAGCAUGGCCCCUACAGGAAAGCCCUGCCUGUUUGGAGUGGUGCUGAGCAAGUGCCCCAGGGCAUCUUGGGUUUCCUACCUGUGCCCAAACAAAUGAAUCCUACCUCUGCCUUCGGGUACAGUCUGUACUGCCCACAUCCAAACAUGCUGUGUAAAUGGGAGACACAUCACACCAAGGUCUCCACUCAUGUCCCUGCGCUCUUAAGACCUUCUAGUUCUCUUCUCCCUGACCCUCUUUCACCCCCAGAUGACAUAAACAGGGACUGUGCUAAUGAGGUCCGCAGGGUCACUGGAUCGCAGGCUGUCCAGGCCAGGGACUUCUUAAGUGGCACCUUAUCGUGCCUGGACAUUGCUUCACCUCUGUCACAGGCCCCAAGGUGCUGCAGAGUCAACUCAGGCAGCAAACUCCUUUCCUGCCAUUCCUGCACAGCCCAGCUCUGUUUCUCCCUGGCCUUGGGCACUGCAGGCUUUGCUCUCUUAGUGGGAACCUCCAUUCACCAUGACAUUGCCACCUGCUUUGUUGCACCAUGACCAAUCUGACUGAAACAUUGCUAGAGUACUGAGAUGUGGUGGGAUUACUUGCAUGAUAGGAGAGCUCUCAUGGUAGGGUACAAACUCUUCAGGAGAGACCAAUGGGGAAGAUGAGGAAGGUCAAUGCCCUUUUUGUGAAGGGGCGGCUCAGAUGUGUGGAAGUCUUCCAUGGGAGAGGCAAGGGUUUGGGUGAGAGCUUGUGGGUGACAAGGGUGACAUUGCAAUGGGAGUUACAGACCACCCAGUCAGGGUGAGGAGGUUGCUGCAGUCCCCUUUAAGCAAUGUGAGAAAGUCUGUGGAUUACAGACUGUGGUUCUUAUGGGGGGCGCACUUUAAUCCCCCUGACAUUCAGUGGAAGAGCAAACAGCAGAGUGCAAGAGUGCAAGCAGGCCAGUGGUUUCUGGAGGGCAUCAGGGACAACUUCUUAGCACAAAUGCACGAUGGGCCAAUAUUUGUGAUGCUUCCUUGUAUCUGGAAAUUUGAAACAGGGAGGAAUGGAUCAGGGAUGGGAUAGUCAGUGUCAGCCUUGUCUACGGUGGCCAUGAAAAAGUAGCAUUCCAGAUCCUGAAGGGAGUGAGGAAAGAUAGUAGCAGAGCACAGACCCUGGACUUCAGAGGGGCAGACUUGGGCCUGUUGAGGGGACUGGUGGGGGAUCCCAUGGGAGGCAGUUCUGAAGGGCCCAGCAGCUCAGGAAAGCCAGCAGGUCUUUAAGGACAGCACCCAGCAAGCACAAAAAUAGUCCAUAGUGGUACUCAGUGGAACUAGUAAACAUCUUGGGAGAUUGGUUUGGCUACACUGGGAACUCAGGACUGAGCUCCAGGGCAAUAAGGAAGCAGAAGGAAGGAGUGGCUGCAAAGGAGGAAUUCAAAAAUAUUGUCCAGAGAAGAAGGAAUAGUGUUAGGGAAGCCAAAGCUCCCCAAGGGUAGACACUUGCAGGGAAUGUCAAGAGCAUGAAGAAGAGCUGCUACAGCUUCAGUUACAGUAAAAGAGUGAAAGAUAA
This 1606-nucleotide long non-coding RNA is filed under the name Apteryx haastii (Great spotted kiwi). Its description in RNAcentral is "lncRNA (ENSAHAG00000000260.1)". The record is from RNAcentral. Lineage: Eukaryota; Metazoa; Chordata; Aves; Apterygiformes; Apterygidae.